GGCUUCAGGUGACAUACGGCACGGUGCGAGGGGGUCGUACGUCAUGCAGAAUGAUGGUGGAAUACGCUGCGUUGCGUGCGACUUCCCUUCACCGAGCUGGGUCUCUCCGGCC
Molecule: non-coding RNA, 112 nt
Organism: Ornithorhynchus anatinus (platypus)
Lineage: Eukaryota; Metazoa; Chordata; Mammalia; Monotremata; Ornithorhynchidae
Product: microRNA mir-1421g-1
Exons: 1
Source: RefSeq, marked provisional